AUUGAACGCUGGCGGCAUGCCUUACACAUGCAAGUCGAACGGUAACAGGUCUUCGGAUGCUGACGAGUGGCGAACGGGUGAGUAAUACAUCGGAACGUGCCUAGUAGAGGGGGAUAACUACUCGAAAGAGUGGCUAAUACCGCAUGAGAUCUACGGAUGAAAGCAGGGGAUCACAAGACCUUGUGCUACUAGAGCGGCCGAUGGCAGAUUAGGCAGUUGGUGGGAUAAAAGCUUACCAAGCCGACGAUCUGUAGCUGGUCUGAGAGGACGAUCAGCCACACUGGGACUGAGACACGGCCCAGACUCCUACGGGAGGCAGCAGUGGGGAAUUUUGGACAAUGGGCGAAAGCCUGAUCCAGCAAUGCCGCGUGCAGGAUGAAGGCCUUCGGGUUGUAAACUGCUUUUGUACGGAACGAAAAGCCCCGGGUUAAUACCCUGGGGUCAUGACGGUACCGUAAGAAUAAGCACCGGCUAACUACGUGCCAGCCGCCGCCGUAA
This 498-nucleotide ribosomal RNA is filed under the name uncultured bacterium. RNAcentral describes it as "partial 16S ribosomal RNA". It matches the Rfam family "Bacterial small subunit ribosomal RNA", at positions 30 to 523 of the family's 1533-position model. The record is from RNAcentral.